UCUUUUAUUGUUAUUUUUAGUAUUUUGUUAUUUUAUUUCAGUAUGGUGUUAUUUUACUUUAUUGCAUUCUAGAUUUAGUUUUUCUGUUUGAAGUUACAUUAUGCUGCGAGUGUUUCAAGUCUGUGGUGAUAUUUUGGAAAUAGUAAUGGUCACGAGUGGGAGUGGAUGAAAGGAUCACGCCAUUUACCAUGGCUUAUUGUGAAGGAUCUCCCCAGGAAGUUGACACUGCUGAAAAA
RNAcentral lists this long non-coding RNA (236 nucleotides) under Lathyrus oleraceus (garden pea). RNAcentral's name for it is "Pisum sativum (pea) long non-coding RNA (PSAT_LNC038005)". The record is from RNAcentral. Lineage: Eukaryota; Viridiplantae; Streptophyta; Magnoliopsida; Fabales; Fabaceae.